This 217-nucleotide ribosomal RNA is filed under the name uncultured bacterium. Its description in RNAcentral is "partial 16S ribosomal RNA". It matches the Rfam family "Bacterial small subunit ribosomal RNA", at positions 122 to 334 of the family's 1533-position model. The record is from RNAcentral.
UAACCUGCCUGGUAGCGGGGGAUAACUAUUGGAAACGAUAGCUAAUACCGCAUAAUAGUAGAUGUUGCAUGACAUUUGCUUAAAAGGUGCAAUUGCAUCACUACCAGAUGGACCUGCGUUGUAUUAGCUAGUUGGUGAGGUAACGGCUCACCAAGGCGACGAUACAUAGCCGACCUGAGAGGGUGAUCGGCCACACUGGGACUGAGACACGGCCCAG